AGCUUUCCGUGUCUACAGGGAGUGUUGCAACGGUUUCAUUAGUCUGUAGACGGCAGACUAUCCUCUUCCCGGUCCCCUAUGCCGGGUUUUUUU
RNAcentral lists this small RNA (93 nucleotides) under Escherichia fergusonii ATCC 35469. RNAcentral's name for it is "GadY". It matches the Rfam family "GadY", at positions 17 to 108 of the family's 114-position model. Rfam says of the family: This family represents a GadY RNA (previous named IS183 in). GadY can form base pairs with the 3' UTR of its target mRNA gadX, this pairing is thought to confer increased stability to the transcript, allowing accumulation of gadX (a transcriptional regulator of the acid response) and therefore increased expression of downstream acid resistance genes. The record is from RNAcentral. Lineage: Bacteria; Pseudomonadati; Pseudomonadota; Gammaproteobacteria; Enterobacterales; Enterobacteriaceae.